AUGCUGCUCUCAACAACCGACCUACGUUAUGUGUACUCUCUCAAGAUUGAGGGAUUGAUUGAAGUUGGGAGAGUACAUGUUAAUGGGAAAGUUUGCUCAAGUACCUGGCUAAGCUGGUCAUCAUCGCCACCUACUUCACCUGUCGACGGUGAUCCUAUAUCCAUAUGCCUACAUCACCUAUACGCCCCUGCUUAUACUCUAACACCAUGGCGUUUCUGGUGUUGUUGGGCUCACCGUGCUCCAAUCCACCAUGAUGUUCAUCCUGCCUGUGAUGUGAUUGAUGCUAAACUGCUAAUCAAAUCGAGGAACUAA
Molecule: ribosomal RNA, 312 nt
Filed under: Triticum aestivum (bread wheat)
Lineage: Eukaryota; Viridiplantae; Streptophyta; Magnoliopsida; Poales; Poaceae
Description: partial small subunit ribosomal RNA
Source: RNAcentral